UACGUAGGGAGCAAGCGUUGUCCGGAAUCAUUGGGCGUAAAGCGCGCGUAGGUGGCUUCGUAAGUCCGCUGUGAAAGUCAAAGGCUCAACCUUUGAAAGCCGGUGGAUACUGCGGGGCUAGAGUACGGAAGAGGCGAGUGGAAUUCCUGGUGUAGCGGUGGAAUGCGCAGAUAUCAGGAGGAAUACCUGAGGUGAAGACGGGUUGCUAGGCCGACACUGACGCUGAAGCGCGAAAGCCAGGGGAGCAAACGGG
RNAcentral lists this ribosomal RNA (253 nucleotides) under uncultured bacterium. Its description in RNAcentral is "partial 16S ribosomal RNA". It matches the Rfam family "Bacterial small subunit ribosomal RNA", at positions 524 to 776 of the family's 1533-position model. The record is from RNAcentral.